Molecule: long non-coding RNA, 999 nt
Organism: Nicotiana tabacum (common tobacco)
Lineage: Eukaryota; Viridiplantae; Streptophyta; Magnoliopsida; Solanales; Solanaceae
Source: RefSeq, a predicted model, not a curated record
UAUAACGAGGGGUAUUCUUAGACCAUUUUAGAAAGUAAAGGUGCAUAUUUGGCUCUUUGCCGUAUUAUUUUUCCUUUGUUCUCUUGGAGCCUGGCUAUAAAAAGGGAACGAUCAAGUGAGAGGGUGUAUAAAUAAGAAAGGAAAGACCAACAAUUAACGGCUUCCAAAUUAGGAUCAACUUAGACAAGGAUGGCAAGCGCAGUUAGUAUUCCCACAAUUGAUCUGUCAACUUUCUUCUUGAAUGAAGAAGAUCGAGAGGGCAAGAAGAAGGUCACUGACAUAAUCAAACAAGCCUGCUCUGAGUACGGCUUAUUUCAAGUGGUAAACCAUGGCGUACCCAUAGAUUUCAUUCACCAAGCUAUGGAGUUGUCGUUAUUUUGUUGACAAGAAUUCUUUGAUCAACCAUGGUGGAUAUUUUGUUGAGUUAUCGUUACUUCCCAGGACCCUACUGUUUUGAGUCUCAUAUUUCAGGAUGAUGCUGGAGGUUUAGAAGUUCUCAUUGAUAGGGAAUGGAUACCUGUCACUCCAACUGAGGGUGCCUUGGUCUUCCAUAUAAGCGAUGUUCUUCAGGUGCUAACCAACGACAGAUUUGUGAGCCCUUUCCACCAAGUGGUGAGGCCCAAGGGAAAAAGUCGUUACGUUUUUGUAUUUUUCUACAAUUUGAAUGGAGAUAAAUGGGUUGAACCAUUGCCACAAUUUAGUAAAGAAAUCGGGGAGCCUCCAAAAUAUAGGAGAUUCCAAUAUAAGGAUUACUUUGGUGUGAGAGUAAAAGAGAAGUUGAAUCCUCCAGCCAGGCACGAAGACAAUACAACAUUAAUCACCUUUGCCUCUGCGACUUAGAGACAAUUGAACUACUGCAUUUUGCUUGAUUUUCUAUGUUGUAUCUUGAGUAUAAUAACGUCGUGAGUGAGUUUAUAUUUGCAAAGGAUAUCCAGUCCAAUCCAUGCUUGGGUUAAAUGUAUAUUUGCCAAAAACUUUCUAUUCGUAUUUUCAAACUCA